CUUGUCCAAAGGAUCGAACAGAAUCCAUAGAUGACACAUCUAGAUUGAUCCAUUCUACUGAACCAGUUGGGAAUCCAGCUUUCUCUACAGAUUUCAGCAAUAGGUCUUUGCUUGGACCAUCUCUGCAACCUACUCACAGUAUAAUUCAACUAGCCCUUUAACAGUGUACCAUCCAAUACCACGAUUUCCACCUGUGAUGACAGCAUAUUCCUUUUCUCUCUUCAAUGGAUCUGGAACAAAAGAGGACAGUGUGCAAUAUUAGGAAUAGAAAUCUAUACGAACAUACACAACACUUUUUUUAUUUGAUACAUUGUUAAUGGGGUUCUGCAACUGACAAGUCGUCGCUUCACCCAAGAAAUUUCCCCCCAUAUUCGGUUUAUACUGAAAUUCCUAGAGGAUAUCGGGUAAAAAGCUCCACAUAUCACAGUAUACUCUAGUGUCGCGUAUUUUUUCGGCCAUCAGUGUUGGAUAAAAUAGAUUUCUCUUUGGUAAUUUCUGUAGAAAGCCAGAUUACGGAAAACUCCUUUGAAAGGUCUAGAGGGUUGUUGCCUAAACCAACUACAUAACCAUAAGGGAAAAAAAAAAAAAAAAAACCAACAGUACCUUCUAAUGGUCGAAUGGAACUGAAAGCCUCCGAAAGUAGGAACUUCGUGCUAAGGAUUAACAUUUUAACAAACAUAAAAAUAUCGACGAAAAUAUUACUACAACAACCCAUUUCUGAAGGAUUUGGCAUGUGCACGUCUUACUACAAGACCACUCAGAAUACAAGUGAUAGCAAAAGAAUCGAACGGCCUUUAGAGUAGCCUUACCCGUAGGCUUAAAUUGACGAGAGAAAGUUUAGGGAGUAAUGCUCUCGCUUUCUCUUUUUCUUCAUCCUCGUCAUGGAGAGAGGCAAGGCGAAUAGAAAGUAUUCGGCAGAUGGUGCGGAUAUUAAAUGGUUACAUGUCUCUGGAAAGCGUAGCGAUAAAAGUAGCCUCAAGUUGGACUGUGAAGAAAAGAAGUGUCUUCUGGAGUACGAUGUGUGAAACAUUCUUUUUUUCUCUUCCUUUUAAUACAUCGAAUAUUAUACUGAAAUAAAGGGAAUAGAUAAAAAGAUGCGAAUUCAUAGGAAUUUUUUUUUAAACAUCUCUCUUCUAGAAUCGAGUAAAUACCGUAUCGUAAUUUAAUUUAAUUAUCAAUCUUUGAUUUACAGCCAUUAUACUUCAGCUUCAGGACCUCGUGAAAUGUUAACCCUGUAUAAAUCAGCUUUUAAAUGUUUACUUAAAAAUACAGUUUUUUAUAGCUGAUAAAAACAAUAAUACAAAAACACACACACACAAAAUAAUAAUGAUAACAGUCAUAUAGGGAGGCGGAGGUCCCUCUAUUUCUAUGACUCUGCCAGAAUAAUAGAUUAGAGGUCUUAUCUUAGUCUAAUCAGAGUCAUAGAUUACAAAAAAUAAUGUAAUCUCUGGCUCUGCUAAGUGCUAACUGCUGGCAAUAAAUAAAUUUCUUUGUUCCCUGAAUGACCGCUAGAUGUUCGGCAACGUAGGAAAACAAUUUCAGGGCAGACAGCUUCUCAAAACUCAAGUGUCGUGUGUCACGGUUCUUGUGAUAUCUUUAGUUACAUUGUUUGUGCUGUACACGUCAAAUCUAGAAAUAAAAAUCUUUAAUAUAGGGUCCUGGCUGUUAUUUGUAACUAAUGGCAACACUCAAUUUUCGUCUGCAGAGCUGUUUCUUAUCACCAUUUGAAUUCGAUGCUCGUCUUCCAUGCAGAGAGAGAAGCCGUUAGCUGGCUUCUCAAAACCGCAAAACAAAAUAGCAAAACUUCCAUCAAAACCACCAUUCAAAUGACAUAGCCAUGUGUAGCAACGGCAGAAAUCAUCUGCCAUUCUUGAAUGUAAAAUGAAAUCAAAGCCAGUGAAGCAAACUUACGCGAAAUUGAGCAGACGAUAGCGAAGAAUAUGUGGACAGUGAAAGAAGACAUUCCAACCCAUGGUUAUCCUGUUUUCAGCCUUUUACAGAAUUUUUGAGAAUGAAAUCUGCUUUGGCUGAUGCCUCAGUUGACAAGCUAUUCUGUAGGGAUUUUAACAAUACUUGAUGUGAGGUUUUAUUAGAAUUACAGAAGAUUUUACCAGGAGCUUCAGAAGAACAUGCUGAUAGAUUGAUUGGAAGGAUUUCUUGGAGGAUUGUCAAUAAAAAUUUUCAUAAUCUAA
This is a long non-coding RNA of Daphnia magna, 2192 nucleotides long. RefSeq lists it as uncharacterized. NCBI's taxonomy places the organism in Eukaryota, Metazoa, Arthropoda, Branchiopoda, Diplostraca, Daphniidae. The transcript has 5 exons. The record is from RefSeq and is a predicted model, not a curated record.